CACAGUACAACAUACUAGUCACAAGUUACUUCCUCUGUGGGUAAUGGCUCAUCCAGCAGGGCUGCGAUCUGAUCACUGUUUGAUGUGUCGGCAAAUAGUGCGUCCUUUACAGGAAGCACUACUAUGUGAAGGAUGUCAGCGCUGGCAGCACAGGACGUGUGGCAGUGGAAUAACAAGGAUGGAGUACCGGAAAGCUGUAGAAUUAAGACAAGACAUAGAUUGGGUGUGUAACCAAUGCAAGGAGAAUGAAAAUGAAACUGUUGGUAGUCCUGUGGAAUGUGCAAUGCCUAUAGAAAAUGCGACUGACAUGAGCAUACAUAGCAUGGAUACUGAAAAUGGAGCUACUCCCGUGGAAUGUGUUAUGCAAAUAGAAAAUGUAACUGACGUAAGCAUGGACACUGAAAAUGAAUGUAAAACGGGUGCUAUUUACGUAGAAGAUCUCUUACCCACAGAUAUACAUACGGUUCUCGAGGAAAUUAUUUAUGAAAAAGUGUUACAAUCAUCUCAAAGAGGAAGUGACAAGUUAAUUGACAGUUUGGGCUAUUCAUAUACAAUAAAACGAAAAACAAGUGUUGCAGUUCACUGGAGAUGUGUUGUGAGGAAUACAAGAGUAACAUGCGAGGCUAAAACAAAAGAAAUGGACGGCAUAUAUGAAAGAGGUACCAAUCAACAUUGCCAUCCUCCAGAGGCCUGCCCGUUAAUUGCAAGCAAAUUUCGUCUACGAUCAAGAAAAAGGCCAUGGAAGACGUGUUUCGGUCUGCUGCAGACAUCGUUGAUGAGGUCUUGUGUGAUGAAGUAGACCCCAGUAAGUCUCUACUCUCGUUACCUGCGCCACAAAACCUUCCCAGGCAAGGAAAUCGUAAGCGGAAGGCUGCACGUCCUGCAGAACCAUUAGAUUUGAGUUUUGAGUUAAGUGAAACACACAUUCCUGAAAACUCCCUGCAAUACGAUAUUACUGUUGGUGAUAGACGACAUUUGAUGUUUUCCACACAGGAGCAACUGUCCCUGCUCAGGAGGGCAAAGCAUUAGUAUGCCGAUGCUACUUUUAAAGUUGUACGACGCCCAUUCACACAAUUAUUCAGCAUUCAUACAUUUGUACAUUGUGAUAACAACCUUAAAACAAGUGCCGCUGUUGUUUGUAAUGAUGUCAGGAAAGAGGCGCAAGGAUUACAAGAAAGUGUUUGGCAAGAUUAAAGACCUUCUGGGUGAACUAAAACUUGAAGCUCUAGCCAUCGAUUUUAAACAAAGUGUCUGGCGUGCAGUUGCAGAAAUCAUGCCUCAUGUACCUAUGAAUGGUUGCAGCUUUCAUUGGGGCCAGGUGGUGUGGAGAAAGAUACAAGAAUUUGGCUUACAAGUGCCAUACACAAAUGACGCCGGUAUGCACAAAUACCUCAGAAAAGUUCUGUCAUUACCCUACGUACCAGCUGAGCAUAUUGAAGAACUAUUCAUAAGAUUUUACAGAAAAACAAAUGGAUGUCAAGCACUUGUUGAUCUUUUGAAUUAUAUAAGGAAUACAUGGAUCGACUCGACUAUUUGGCCUCCUUCUACGUGGUGUGCUUUUGGACGAAGCAUACGCACAAAUAACGAUGUGGAAGGAUGGCACCACCGGUUAAAUUUGAAAGCAAGAAAAGAACAGCUUAGUUUUUACUUACUUAUUAACCUAUUACACAAAAAAGCCAGACUGGUUACACUACAAGUGCGUCUCCUGUCUGAUGGAAAAGUUUUACGUAAACAAAGUACAAAAUACAAAAAAACAACAUGGUCAACUUGUAAAACUCUGGGAAGAAUGCAACGCUGGUGAGAAGUCGGCAAAAAAUCUCCUUAAAGCCGUAUCUUACCACAUCGCAGUGUACACUAGAUUUUUUUUUUUACCAUUGUUUUAAAAAUUUUUACCAUUCUUUUUUACUUUUAUACUUUGAUUUUUUUUUUUUAAUCUACAUCAGCUUGUAUUUUCAUUUACAUGAUUUAUUUUUAUAUAUGCCAUGAAUAAAAGUAUUUUAAUAA
Molecule: long non-coding RNA, 2004 nt
Organism: Scylla paramamosain (green mud crab)
Lineage: Eukaryota; Metazoa; Arthropoda; Malacostraca; Decapoda; Portunidae
Exons: 2
Source: RefSeq, a predicted model, not a curated record